RNAcentral lists this ribosomal RNA (301 nucleotides) under uncultured bacterium. RNAcentral's name for it is "partial 16S ribosomal RNA". It matches the Rfam family "Bacterial small subunit ribosomal RNA", at positions 509 to 807 of the family's 1533-position model. The record is from RNAcentral.
CAGUAGCCACGGGAAUACGAAGGGUGCAAGCGUUACUCGGAAUUACUGGGCGUAAAGCGUGCGUAGGUGGUGGUUUAAGUCCGUUGUGAAAGCCCUGGGCUCAACCCGGGAAUUGCAGUGGAUACUGGGUCACUAGAGUGUGGUAGAGGAUAGUGGAAUUUCCGGUGUAGCAGUGAAAUGCGUAGAGAUCGGAAGGAACAUCUGUGGCGAAGGCGACUAUCUGGGCCAACACUGACACUGAGGCACGAAAGCGUGGGGAGCAAACAGGAUUAGAUACCCCUGUAGUCCCUGUCUCUUAUAC